GGGGUAUUUUUCUCCUCAUCACUUGGUUACAGUGAUGCGCCUGCUGGGGGCCGUCCAAGAAAGAACGUCAGAAACGGCAAAUGAAGCCCAGAGGUUUGGCAGGGCUGCCAAGGCAUUUAAUAGAACACCCUGAUUAUUCCCAAAUCAAUCAUGCAGUUAGAGUUUUACCAAAACUUAUGACUGAACAUGAAUGCAAGAAUCCCGUGGCACUCUACAUCCUCAAAAAGGUAACUCUCUAAGUAACAAAAAAGAUGCAAAGCUGUCACCAUCAGUAUCUGACUCAAAACAUAACUAAAUAAACCCUUGUCUGAAUAAAUGUUCAUUUAUUAAAUCGAUAAAAUGCCGAGAGAUACUGUGGGGGUUUGUACAUUUUUAUUUCUCAACUCUCAUUCAGCUGUUAGGAUGACUACAAUAUCUCAAUUAAGAAUAUAAUACAGCCACUACACCUUUGGUAUUGUUUGGACCUGUUUAGAGAGCAUUAUGCUAAUGAGUUUGACCCAUUCAUAUCCUGCCAUUACCCCCU
Salvelinus sp. IW2-2015 is the source of this 523-nucleotide RNA transcript. RefSeq lists it as uncharacterized. Lineage: Eukaryota; Metazoa; Chordata; Actinopteri; Salmoniformes; Salmonidae. The record is from RefSeq and is a predicted model, not a curated record.